CAAAGGAAGCGAUUCCGGCAACGGAUGGGCAUGCGUGACAUUAGCUAGUUGGCGGGGCAACGGCCCACCAAGGCGACGAUGUCUAGGGGUUCUGAGAGGAAGGUCCCCCACACUGGUACUGAGACACGGACCAGACUCCUACGGGAGGCAGCAGUGAGGAAUAUUGGUCAAUGGGCGCGAGCCUGAACCAGCCAAGUCGCGUGAGGGAUGACGGCCCUACGGGUUGUAAACCUCUUUUGUCGGGGAGCAAAUUCCGCCACGUGUGGCGGAGUCGAGAGUACCCGAAGAAAAAGCAUCGGCUAACUCCGUGCCAGCAGCCGCGGUAAUACGGAGGAUGCGAGCGUUAUCCGGAUUUAUUGGGUUUAAAGGGUGCGUAGGCGGACUGUCAAGUCAGCGGUAAAAUACGGGGGCUCAACCUCCGCCCGCCGUUGAAACUGACGGUCUUGAGUGGGCGAGAAGUAUGCGGAAUGCGUGGUGUAGCGGUGAAAUGCAUAGAUAUCACGCAGAACUCCGAUUGCGAAGGCAGCAUACCGGCGCCCAACUGACGCUGAAGCACGAAAGCGUGGGUAUCGAACAGGAUUAGAUACCCUGGUAGUCCACGCAGUAAACGAUGAAUGCUAGCUGUCCGGGGCGAAUGGGCCCUGG
Molecule: ribosomal RNA, 645 nt
Filed under: uncultured bacterium
Lineage: Bacteria
Description: bacterial SSU rRNA
Rfam family: Bacterial small subunit ribosomal RNA
Source: RNAcentral